CCUAGGGCGGCAGCAGUGGGGAAUAUUGGACAAUGGGCGAAAGCCUGAUCCAGCCAUGCCGCGUGUGUGAAGAAGGCCUUCGGGUUGUAAAGCACUUUCAGUGGGGAAGAAAGCCUUGGGGCUAAUACCCUCGAGGAAGGACAUCACCCACAGAAGAAGCACCGGCUAACUCCGUGCCAGCAGCCGCGGUAAUACGGAGGGUGCGAGCGUUAAUCGGAAUUACUGGGCGUAAAGCGCGCGUAGGCGGUCUGAUAAGCCGGUUGUGAAAGCCCCGGGCUCAACCUGGGAACGGCAUCCGGAACUGUCAGGCUAGAGUGCAGGAGAGGAAGGUAGAAUUCCCGGUGUAGCGGUGAAAUGCGUAAAGAUCGGGAGGAAUACCAGUGGCGAAGGCGGCCUUCUGGACUGACACUGACGCUGAGGUGCGAAAGCGUGGGUAGCAAACAGGAUUAGAUACCCCAGUAGUC
RNAcentral lists this ribosomal RNA (464 nucleotides) under Vreelandella stevensii. Its description in RNAcentral is "partial 16S ribosomal RNA". It matches the Rfam family "Bacterial small subunit ribosomal RNA", at positions 338 to 795 of the family's 1533-position model. The record is from RNAcentral. Lineage: Bacteria; Pseudomonadati; Pseudomonadota; Gammaproteobacteria; Oceanospirillales; Halomonadaceae.